GUACGCUGGCGGCACGCCUAACACAUGCAAGUCGAACGAAGUAGCAAUACUUAGUGGCAGACGGGUGAGUAACAUGUAGGUAUCUGCCCUUUGGCCUGGAAUAACACGAGGAAACUUGUGCUAAUACCGGAUAAGUCUUUACGGAGAAAGCUUUAUGCACCAUUGGAUGAGCCUGCACUUGAUUAGUUUGUUGGUAGGGUAAUGGCCUACCAAGACUGUGAUCAAUAGCUGAUUUGAGAGGAUGAUCAGCCACAUUGGGACUGAGACACGGCCCAAACUCCUACGGGAGGCAGCAGUGGGGAAUCUUGCACAAUGGAGGAAACUCUGAUGCAGCGAUGCCGCGUGAGUGAAGAAGGCCUUUGGGUUGUAAAGCUCUUUCGUCGGGGAAGAAAAUGACUGUACCCGAAUAAGAAGGUCCGGCUAA
Molecule: ribosomal RNA, 424 nt
Filed under: uncultured bacterium
Lineage: Bacteria
Description: bacterial SSU rRNA
Rfam family: Bacterial small subunit ribosomal RNA
Source: RNAcentral